AUUGAACGCUGGCGGCAGGCCUAACACAUGCAAGUCGAGCGAGCGGCGGACGGGUGAGUAAUAUAUCGGAAAGUGCCCAGUAGCGGGGGAUAACUAUUCGAAAGACUGUCUAAUACCGCAUACGAUUUGAGCGGCCGAUAUCGGAUUAGCUAGUUGGUGGGGUAAAGGCUCACCAAGGCAACGAUCCGUAGCUGGUUUGAGAGGAGGACCAGCCACACGGGGACUAAGAACGGGCCCAGACUCCUACGGGAGGCAGCAGUGGGAAAUUUUGGACAAUGGUGGAAACCCUGUGCCAGCCAUCCCCGGUGUAUGAGAAGGCCUUGGGGUGGAAAAGUACUUUUGGCAGGGAAAGGGUAUCUGCAGAAUAAGCACCGGCUAACUACGUGCCAGCAGCCGCGUAAUAC
RNAcentral lists this ribosomal RNA (404 nucleotides) under uncultured bacterium. RNAcentral's name for it is "partial 16S ribosomal RNA". It matches the Rfam family "Bacterial small subunit ribosomal RNA", at positions 30 to 526 of the family's 1533-position model. The record is from RNAcentral.